UUAAUUCAAUAUAAAUUGUUACAUAAAGUACAAAACCUUAAUUAUAUCUAUAAUAAAACCAGUGUAAAAACUUAUAACUCGAAGACUAAACUAUAAUAUGUGUUUUGAAAAGUCCUAAUUAUUUUGGCUGAUAUGGUUUAUUUGAUAAUUUAAAAAAAAUGUGUAAAUCUUUAAACAAUAAUGUGUUAUGUUUUAAGUUGAUUAAAAAUGGC
This 212-nucleotide long non-coding RNA is filed under the name Brassica napus (rape). Its description in RNAcentral is "long non-coding RNA (BNAP_LNC000482)". The record is from RNAcentral. Lineage: Eukaryota; Viridiplantae; Streptophyta; Magnoliopsida; Brassicales; Brassicaceae.